Molecule: ribosomal RNA, 468 nt
Filed under: uncultured bacterium
Lineage: Bacteria
Description: partial 16S ribosomal RNA
Rfam family: Bacterial small subunit ribosomal RNA
Source: RNAcentral
GACGAACGCUGGCGGCGUGCUUAACACAUGCAAGUCGAACGGAAAGGCCCUGCUUUUGUGGGGUGCUCGAGUGGCGAACGGGUGAGUAACACGUGAGUAACCUGCCCUUGACUUUGGGAUAACUUCAGGAAACUGGGGCUAAUACCGGAUAGGAGCUCCUGCUGCAUGGUGGGGGUUGGAAAGUUUCGGCGGUUGGGGAUGGACUCGCGGCUUAUCAGCUUGUUGGUGGGGUAGUGGCUUACCAAGGCUUUGACGGGUAGCCGGCCUGAGAGGGUGGCCGGCGACAUUGGGACUGAGGGACGGCCCAGAAGGCAACGGGAGGCAGCAGGCGGGAGUAUGGCAGAAUGGGCGGAAGCCAGAUGCAGCAACGCCGGGAGCGGGAUGACGGGCUUCGGGUGGUAAACAGCUGUCGACGGUGACGAAGCGUGAGUGACGGUAAUGGGUAAGGAAGCACCGGCUAACUACGUG